Molecule: ribosomal RNA, 435 nt
Filed under: uncultured bacterium
Lineage: Bacteria
Description: bacterial SSU rRNA
Rfam family: Bacterial small subunit ribosomal RNA
Source: RNAcentral
ACUCCUACGGGAGGCAGCAGUAAGGAAUAUUGGUCAAUGGACGCAAGUCUGAACCAGCCAUGCCGCGUGAAGGAUGAAGGUCCUCUGGAUUGUAAACUUCUUUUAUAGGGGGCGAAAAAGGUUUUCUUAAAUCACUUGACAGUACCUAUGAAUAAGCACCGGCUAACUCCGUGCCAGCAGCCGCGGUAAUACGGAGGGGUGCAAGCGUUAUCCGGAUUCACUGGGUUUAAAGGGUGCGUAGGCGGGUAGGUAAGUCAGAGGUGAAAUCCUGGAGCUUAACUCCAGAACUGCCUUUGAUACUAUCUAUCUUGAAUAUGGUGGAGGUAAGCGGAAUAUGUCGAUGUAGCGGUGAAAUGCAUAGAUAUGACAUAGAACACCUAUUGCGAAGGCAGCUUACUACGCCUAUAUUGACGCUGAGGCACGAAAGCGUGGGGA